CACCUGAUAGCAUAAGGUGUGCAUUUGCGUGGUUUAGAUGUUGGGAGCGUUGUAAGCAGAGGGUCCCCGUUCGAUUCGGGGUCGGGUGA
Molecule: non-coding RNA, 89 nt
Organism: Mycena vulgaris
Lineage: Eukaryota; Fungi; Basidiomycota; Agaricomycetes; Agaricales; Mycenaceae
Source: the annotation of a GenBank genome assembly